This 379-nucleotide ribosomal RNA is filed under the name Iberus sp. MAE-2007-02. RNAcentral's name for it is "partial 16S ribosomal RNA". It matches the Rfam family "Archaeal large subunit ribosomal RNA", at positions 1947 to 2666 of the family's 2987-position model. The record is from RNAcentral. Lineage: Eukaryota; Metazoa; Mollusca; Gastropoda; Stylommatophora; Helicidae.
AUUUCUGCUCCAUGACACGUUAAAUAGCCGCAGUACUCUGACUGUGCAAAGGUAGCAUAAUCAAUUGGCUUUUAAUUAGAGUCUGGUAUGAAUGAAUACAUGGAAUGUAACUGUCUUGAAGGUAUUAUUAUUAAUUUAGUGAGUAAGUGCAAAUCCUUACAAAAUUAAGAAAGACGAGAAGACCCUAGAAGCUUCAAAAAUAUUUUGUUGGGGCGACAGAACUACAUUUAACUAGUUUUAAAUAACGUGACGUUUACUGAUAGAUUAAGCUACUCUAGGGAUAACAGCAUAAUGUAAACCGUUUGUGACCUCGAUGUUGGACUAGGUACAGUAUUCUUUAGAAGAGAGUAUGACUUGCUCUGUUCGAGCGGAACUACCU